UAGCAAUAUAGAAUAUGUUCAGUGGCGCAAGGGUGCGUAACACGUGGGCAAUCUGCCGGGAAAUGGGGGAUAGCUCGCCGAAAGGCGAAUUAAUACCGCAUGUGGCAAGGGAGGACAUCCUUCCAAAGCUAAAGUCGGGGCAACCUGACGUUUCCUGAUGAGCCCGCGGCCUAUCAGCUAGUUGGUAAGGUAACGGCUUACCAAGGCUAUGACGGGUAGCUGGUCUGAGAGGACGACCAGCCACACUGGAACUGAGACACGGUCCAGACACCUACGGGUGGCAGCAGUCGAGAAUUUUUCUCAAUGGGGGAAACCCUGAAGGAGCGACGCCGCGUGGAGGAUGAAGGUUUUCGGAUUGUAAACUCCUGUCAUGAGGGAGCAAUGCUGCGGGUAGUAACUGACCUGCAGUUGAUAGUACCUCAAGAGGAAGGGACGGCUAACUCUGUGCCAGCAGCCGCGGUAGUACAGAGGUCCCGAGCGUUGUUCGGAUUCAUUGGGCGUAAAGGGUGCGUAGGCGGCGUUAUAAGUCGGAUGUGAAAUCUUAGGGCUCAACCCUGAAACUGCAUUCGAUACUGUAGCGCUAGAGGACUCUAGAGGAAACUGGAAUUCUCGGUGUAGCA
Molecule: ribosomal RNA, 620 nt
Filed under: uncultured Verrucomicrobiota bacterium
Lineage: Bacteria; Pseudomonadati; Verrucomicrobiota
Description: bacterial SSU rRNA
Rfam family: Bacterial small subunit ribosomal RNA
Source: RNAcentral